AAUUUUAGAUUGUUGCGGUUAAAAGCUCGUAGUUGGAUUUUGGGCGCAGGCGGCCGGUCCGUCGCAAGGCGUGUACUGGCCGUCCUGGCCUCACCUCCGGUUCUCCGCCGGUGCCCUUGACUGAGUGUCGGCGGCGGCCGGAACGUUUACUUUGAAAAAAUGAGAGUGUUCAAAGCAGGCGAUUCGCCUGAAUAAUGGUGCAUGGAAUAAUGGAAUAGGACCUCGGUUCUAUUUUGUUGGUUUUCGGAGCGCGAGGUAAUGAUUAAGAGGGACAGACGGGGGCAUUCGUACUGUGCCGUUAGAGGUGAAAUUCUUGGAUCGGCGCAAGACGAACGACUGCGAAAGCAUUUGCCAAGAAUGUUUUCUUUAAUCAAGAGCGAAAGUCAGAGGUUCGAAGACGAUCAGAUACCGUCCUAGUUCUGACUAUAAACGAUGCCAACUAGCGAUCGGGGGGCGUUAGUUUUACGACCUCUCCGGCAGCUUGCGGGAAACCAAAGUCUUUGGGUUCCGGGGGAAGUAUGGUUGCAAAGCUGAAACUUAAAGGAAUUGACGGAAGGGCACCACCAGGAGUGGAGCCUGCGGCUUAAUUUGACUCAACACGGGAAAUCUCACCCGGCCCGGACACAGUGAGGAUUGACAGAUUGAGAGCUCUUUCUUGAUUCUGUGGGUGGUGGUGCAUGGCCGUUCUUAGUUGGUGGAGCGAUUUGUCUGGUUAAUUCCGAUAACGAACGAGACUCUGGCUUGCUAACUAGUUACGCGACCCAAUCGGUCGGCGUCUAACUUCUUAGAGGGACUAGUGGCGUUUAGCCACACGAGAUUGAGCAAUAACAGGUCUGUGAUGCCCUUAGAUGUUCGGGGCCGCACGCGCGCUACACUGACCGGAUCAGCAUGUGCUCGCCUUGGCCGACAGGUCUGGGUAACCCGCUGAACCCCGGUCGUGCUAGGGAUAGGGAAUUGCAAUUAUUUCCCUUGAACGAGGAAUUCCCA
Molecule: ribosomal RNA, 987 nt
Filed under: Ascidiella aspersa
Lineage: Eukaryota; Metazoa; Chordata; Ascidiacea; Phlebobranchia; Ascidiidae
Description: SSU rRNA
Rfam family: Eukaryotic small subunit ribosomal RNA
Source: RNAcentral